Molecule: non-coding RNA, 30 nt
Filed under: Mus musculus (house mouse)
Lineage: Eukaryota; Metazoa; Chordata; Mammalia; Rodentia; Muridae
Source: RNAcentral
UGGUACUUGAGGUGUCAGUGACAGAACGGU